GGGUCGAUGCCCGAGUGGUUAAUGGGGGCGGAUUGUAAAUCCGCUGGCACAGCCUACGCUGGUUCAAAUCCAGCUCGGCCCA
This 82-nucleotide transfer RNA is filed under the name Edaphochlorella mirabilis. RNAcentral's name for it is "tRNA-Tyr". It matches the Rfam family "tRNA". From Rfam's summary of the family: Transfer RNA (tRNA) molecules are approximately 80 nucleotides in length. Their secondary structure includes four short double-helical elements and three loops (D, anti-codon, and T loops). Lineage: Eukaryota; Viridiplantae; Chlorophyta; Trebouxiophyceae; Prasiolales; Prasiolaceae. The record is from RNAcentral.